RNAcentral lists this ribosomal RNA (522 nucleotides) under uncultured Pelagibacterales bacterium. RNAcentral describes it as "bacterial SSU rRNA". It matches the Rfam family "Bacterial small subunit ribosomal RNA", at positions 96 to 652 of the family's 1533-position model. Lineage: Bacteria; Pseudomonadati; Pseudomonadota; Alphaproteobacteria; Candidatus Pelagibacterales. The record is from RNAcentral.
UGGCAGACGGGUGAGUAACAUGUGGGUAUCUACCCUUUGGCCUGGAAUAACACGAGGAAACUUGUGCUAAUACCGGAUAAGUCUUUACGGAGAAAGCUUUAUGCACCAUUGGAUGAGCCCGCACUUGAUUAGUUUGUUGGUAGGGUAAUGGCCUACCAAGACUAUGAUCAAUAGCUGAUUUGAGAGGAUGAUCAGCCACAUUGGGACUGAGACACGGCCCAAACUCCUACGGGAGGCAGCAGUGGGGAAUCUUGCACAAUGGAGGAAACUCUGAUGCAGCGAUGCCGCGUGAGUGAAGAAGGCCUUUGGGUUGUAGAGCUCUUUCGUCGGGGAAGAAAAUGACUGUACCCGAAUAAGAAGGUCCGGCUAACUUCGUGCCAGCAGCCGCGGUAAUACGAAGGGACCUAGCGUAGUUCGGAAUUACUGGGCUUAAAGAGUUCGUAGGUGGUUGAAAAAGUUGGUGGUGAAAUCCCAGAGCUUAACUCUGGAACUGCCAUCAAAACUUUUCAGCUAGAGUAUGAU